This 1276-nucleotide long non-coding RNA is filed under the name Sus scrofa (pig). Its description in RNAcentral is "lncRNA (ENSSSCG00035043434.1)". Lineage: Eukaryota; Metazoa; Chordata; Mammalia; Artiodactyla; Suidae. The record is from RNAcentral.
CUCUCUCUCUCUCUCUCCCCCUCUCUCUCUCUCUCUCUGUCUCGCGCUCUCCUCUCUCUUCUCUUCUCUCCCCUCUGGUCUCCCUCGUCUUCCCUCCCCCCCCCACACCCCUUCUUCCUCCCCUCGGCUGCUCCUGCUUUUCGCAUCACACACACUAUAUAAAUAUACGCGGAGAUGCCCAGAUACAUUCAUGCGCUGCGCACACAGGAUACUUGCUCCCGGGAGAUAAGAGCGAACUAGGAACAAUGCCGGGGUCCACGCCCGGCGCCCGCGCCCUGAUUCCCGAGAUACGUUCAUUAAUGCUUUUUCCAGCCGGAGACAAAUUUUGGGGGGGGGGAGUGCAGAAGAGUUUACUCGGGCUGGGGAUAACCUGGAGCUUACUGCCCUGGAAGACCUGGACGCAAACCGAAGCAGACCAACCAUUAAAAAGUGCAUCCAAUGGACAUUCUUCCACUCGGGCCCUCGACUGCGGAGUCGCGCAAACUCCUGGAGCGGCUCACGCAACUACGCGGGCUCCUGCGGUUUCGGACGGACCUCGGCCGUCGGGGGCGGGGACUCGGCUCCCAGCGCGGUUAGCGAAGGGACGCCCUCGGGGCGGUGCGCCUCGGUCCCUCAGCUACUGGAGAGCUCCCGGCUCCGGGAUCCGCGGCACCCCAGGCCACUUAUCCGCGCCAUCUAGGGUCAAACCCCUCGCGCAUACCCCGACCCAAGGGCCCAAACCCUUGCGCCCGGGCGCCCGGGCCAGUGCUGCCUAUGCAGUGCCACCUUUGGCCCCAAGAAACCUACGGUACAGCGAGACGAUCCCUCCAGGCUGUCCGGCAGGUCUCCAGAACACAGCUUGCAACAUCCCCGCACCGACCCAGACCUCUCCCAGCCCAGACUCUGUCGACCUUCAAAUGACAACAAGGCUUUCAGGAGGGAGCAGGGAGACUGCUUCCCACCAGGACCUGACCAGAAACCCGGCACCCUCAGCCUCAUUCUCCCUCUUUCAGGCAGAAAGACCGCCAAUCUACCACAGGAGGCCCCCUUCUCGGUGCUGGGCAAACACUGAGGUCAUUAAUGGCCACCCCAGGCCAGGCAGUGGCUCCCCCUUCUAGGGCUUGUGAAGGCACCUCUGUGGCAAAACAUUGGCCAGUCUUCUCUUUCCAACUCCUCUUCUGCCUGGCAACUACCUGCCUUCACUGCUCUGAUCACCCCAACGUCCCUAGCAUCCCUGCCUCUCUUCUUGGGAGAACUCCAUGUGGAACUAAAUUAAAAUGAGGACUUGUCCUCCUGU